GACGAACGCUGGCGGCGUGCUUAACACAUGCAAGUCGAGCGGUAAGGCCCUUUCGGGGGUACACGAGCGGCGAACGGGUGAGUAACACGUGGGUGACCUGCCCUCAGCUCUGGGAUAAGCCUGGGAAACCGGGUCUAAUACCGGAUAUGACUCCAUGACGCAUGUUGUGGGGUGGAAAGCCUUGUGCGGCUGAGGAUGGGCCCGCGGCCUAUCAGCUUGUUGGUGGGGUGANGGCCUACCAAGGCGACGACGGGUAGCCGGCCUGAGAGGGCGACCGGCCACACUGGGACUGAGACACGGGCCCAGACUCCUACGGGAGGCAGCAGUGGGGAAUCUUGCGCAAUGGGCGAAAGCCUGACGCAGCGACGCCGCGUGAGGGAUGACGGCCUCGGUUGUAAC
Molecule: ribosomal RNA, 399 nt
Filed under: uncultured bacterium
Lineage: Bacteria
Description: bacterial SSU rRNA
Rfam family: Bacterial small subunit ribosomal RNA
Source: RNAcentral